GGAUGUGAGGGCGAUCUGGCUGCGACAUUUGUCACCCCACUGAUUGCCUGGGUUGAUUCAGCCAAUCUGGCUGGCUAGGCGGGUGUCCCCUUCCUCCCUCACCGCUCCAUGUGCUUUCCUCCCGAAGCUGCUUGCUUGGUCGACGAGGACGCCCUUCCCCGCUAGAGGAAGACCGUUCUUUGGUCAAGGGUAUAUGAGUAGCUGCGUUCCAUUGCUAGAACCUCCAAACAAGCUCUCAGAAAGAGGGAGUGAUCACCUGGUCCCUGCUGCUGGAGGUCAAGUUAAACCAGGAGAGAUCUGACCCCUGGCUUU
RNAcentral lists this small nuclear RNA (312 nucleotides) under Dasypus novemcinctus (nine-banded armadillo). RNAcentral's name for it is "7SK RNA (ENSDNOG00000026281.1)". It matches the Rfam family "7SK RNA". Rfam says of the family: 7SK was discovered as an abundant small nuclear RNA in the mid-70s but a possible function has only recently been suggested. Two independent studies have found that 7SK RNA binds the CDK9/cyclin T complex (known as elongation factor P-TEFb). The record is from RNAcentral. Lineage: Eukaryota; Metazoa; Chordata; Mammalia; Cingulata; Dasypodidae.